Molecule: ribosomal RNA, 442 nt
Filed under: uncultured bacterium
Lineage: Bacteria
Description: partial 16S ribosomal RNA
Rfam family: Bacterial small subunit ribosomal RNA
Source: RNAcentral
CCUACGGGUGGCAGCAGUGGGGAAUAUUGGGCAAUGGGCGCAAGCCUGACCCAGCAACGCCGCGUGAAGGAAGAAGGCUUUCGGGUUGUAAACUUCUUUUCUCAGGGACGAAGCAAGUGACGGUACCUGAGGAAUAAGCCACGGCUAACUACGUGCCAGCAGCCGCGGUAAUACGUAGGUGGCAAGCGUUUUCGGAUUUACUGGGUGUAAAGGGAGUGUAGGCGGGGACGCAAGGCAGAUGUGAAAACCCCGGGCUCAACCUGUGGCCUGCAUUUGAAACUGUGUUUCUUGAGUACUGGUGAGGCAGACGGAAUUGCUAGUGUAGCGGUGAAAUGCGUAGAGAUUAGGAGGAACACCAGUGGCGAAGGCGGUCUGCUGGACAGCAACUGACGCUGAGGCGCGAAAGCGUGGGGAGCAAACAGGAUUAGAUACCCUUGUAGUC